RNAcentral lists this ribosomal RNA (493 nucleotides) under uncultured microorganism. RNAcentral's name for it is "bacterial SSU rRNA". It matches the Rfam family "Bacterial small subunit ribosomal RNA", at positions 9 to 523 of the family's 1533-position model. The record is from RNAcentral.
GAGUUUGAUCGUGGCUCAGAACGAACGCUGGCGGCGUGGAUAAGACAUGCAAGUCGAACGGGAGAAUUGCUAGCUUGCUAAUAAUUCUCUAGUGGCGCACGGGUGAGUAACACGUGAGUAACCUGCCCCCGAGAGCGGGAUAGCCCUGGGAAACUGGGAUUAAUACCGCAUAGUAUCGAAAGAUUAAAGCAGCAAUGCGCUUGGGGAUGGGCUCGCGGCCUAUUAGUUAGUUGGUGAGGUAACGGCUCACCAAGGCGAUGACGGGUAGCCGGUCUGAGAGGAUGUCCGGCCACACUGGAACUGAGACACGGUCCAGACACCUACGGGUGGCAGCAGUCGAGAAUCAUUCACAAUGGGGGAAACCCUGAUGGUGCGACGCCGCGUGGGGGAAUGAAGGUCUUCGGAUUGUAAACCCCUGUCAUGUGGGAGCAAAUUAAAAAGAUAGUACCACAAGAGGAAGAGACGGCUAACUCUGUGCCAGCCGCCGCGGUAA